This 111-nucleotide small nucleolar RNA is filed under the name Pavo cristatus (Indian peafowl). RNAcentral's name for it is "Small nucleolar RNA SNORD67 (ENSPSTG00000000916.1)". It matches the Rfam family "Small nucleolar RNA SNORD67". Rfam says of the family: snoRNA HBII-166 belongs to the C/D family of snoRNAs. The record is from Rfam by way of RNAcentral. Lineage: Eukaryota; Metazoa; Chordata; Aves; Galliformes; Phasianidae.
UGCGAGGGUGAUGAGCUGCACUCUGGUGGAGCAACCGUGUCAGGUGACGUGGACUCUACUCAGAAUCUCCCUGAUGACAAAACUAAGUGCACAGGGGCCAUCUGACUCGCU